AUGGAGAUAGAGAUGGAGUCGUCGAGUGUCGAGUCUUGUGAGCCGGGGGAAAGAUCUGUGGCGGGGAAGAUAUCUAAGAUGGGGGGAACAGGGAAUGCGGUGGUGGCGAUGGCGACGACGGGGAAGAAGACAUAUGAGCAGGCGUUUCUGGCGACGACGGGGAAGAAGAUAUCGUUGCAGGCGUUGCUGGGGACGAUGGGGAAGAAGACAUCUAAGCAGGAGUUGCUGGCGACGACGGGUAACACAUCUAAGCAGGAGUUGCUGCCGACGGGGAAGACUGCGGGAUCUGAAGUGCGGAAGGCGGCGGUGUUGUUGAUGCAGGUUGCGAGCUUGCGUGGAGGGGCGGGUGAUGUGAGAGAGACGAGGGAGCGCCUGAUUGGCCAGUCUCUGGAGGCUCUGUCGAAUGCAGAAGUGUUGGCCUCACUGGAAGAGGAGGAACCAAGGAGAACGAUAUCUCAGGAAGCCAAAACUGAUCUAAUUGCCUACCAAGCCUGUGAUCAGGAGGAGGCGGCGCCGGAGCUCGUGGUGCAGAUUAUGUCGGAUGAUGACGAUGACUAUGUUAAGUGUGAAGCAGCAGCUUCUGAAGAGGCAUGUGAUCCAGCUUUUAUUCUCGAGAAUGACACAAUGACGACAAUGAUUGUAGCGGACCCCGCUAGGGGGGAAAUUGGCCUGGCUGAGGAGGUGGAUGUGGCGGCUAAAAGUGGACAGCAGAAGAAGAGAGUUAAUCUGUCGACUGAAGAAUUUUCGGCGCUACUGGAGGAGGAGGAAGCAGGGAGAAAGAUGGCUCACAAAGGCAGCACUGAUCCAAAUGCCUACCAAGCCUCUGCUCAAGUGGAUGAUGAUUGGUCUGAUAAGGAGGAGCGGCAUGAGGCGAUGGAGCUCCUGAAGCAGAAUAUGGCGGAUGACGAUGAUGAGUCUGCCAAGUUUGAAGCAGCGGCGCCUGAAGAGGCUACUGGGGAUGAGAUAAGGAUCUCUGAGGAAGCGGCCGAGGUAGCUGCUGAGGAGGAGAUGAUGAUGAUGGGAUUUGGGGGGCUGGCCGAGGAGGCGGCUGAGGAGGCGGCUGAAAGUUGGGAGCAGAAGAGGAAGAGGAGAGGUGACCUGUCGAUUGAUGAAAUGAUGGCUAGAACGAGAGAGAUGGUAGGGGAAGUGCCUGAGGAGGCCAACACUGAUCAUAAUGCCUACUGUGCCCGUGUUUACCGUGAAGAUUGGGACUGGCUCUUUGCCCCACUCUACGGUCCCUUCGACAAGACCACGUCUAUCCCACCCUCGUGUUGCAGCCACCAUCACCGUAACUCCUUGGUCAGGCCACAGCAGACUCUUCAGAUCUUCUCAAUCAAAGUCGGAAAGAUAAAGAAGCCCCUAAUGUGGCCAUUGCAUGUUUUUGGUUCAGUCGCUGUACGGGAUAAGGUGGAUCACAAUCGCAUUAUGGUCUUCCAUCGCCAAAGGGAGAACUGUCAAACCCUCACCAAGAAGGAUCGGUCUCUUAUGCUGACGGGUCCCACCCGUGGAGUUGUGGUGGAUGUACAUCCUACGUAUAUUGAAGUUGAUCUGAAAGUUAAGGGCACCACUGAAUCGGAGGACAUGGAUUUAAGCUAUUUAGUAGUUGCGUCUUCUCCUGGCGGCCCGUCUUAUCGUGCUGAAGCUAGCAAGCGUAGCACAUUGGAGUUGACAUAUGUUCGAAUGUACGACUCUGUGGAAGCCGCAAUCAGUGUGAAAUUGAAAAAAGAUGGGUCAUGGCCUGGUUGCCGAGGUUUAUUUACUGCCAGUACAGCUAGUUUAGAAGACAUGGAAAUCUUGUUGCUUGCUUUUAAAGGUGAUAGAUUGCCAGUUAAUGGUAAAGGAAGGAUUGAGUUUUCACGCCGUGUAGUCAGCGUCGAGCUUCGCGGUAAGCUAAUAUUUUCUGCGAAGGCACUGCAAGGUAGUGAUGAGAAAGGUGUGAGAAGAGUUCGUAAGACUUUUACUCCCAAAAGAGCUGGUAAAAGCAAGGAGAAUAUUAAGAUUGGUUCCUGUGAGAUGGAGGUAACUGUGACAUGGUCCCUUCUUCCGAGUUGCAAGUUUGACUAUGAUAAUUCUUUGUAA
RNAcentral lists this ribosomal RNA (2079 nucleotides) under Triticum aestivum (bread wheat). RNAcentral's name for it is "partial small subunit ribosomal RNA". The record is from RNAcentral. Lineage: Eukaryota; Viridiplantae; Streptophyta; Magnoliopsida; Poales; Poaceae.